CCUACGGGCGGCUGCAGUCGAGAAUCAUUCACAAUGGGGGAAACCCUGAUGGUGCGACGCCGCGUGGGGGAAUGAAGGUCUUCGGAUUGUAAACCCCUGUCAUGUGGGAGCAAAUUAAAAAGAUAGUACCACAAGAGGAAGAGACGGCUAACUCUGUGCCAGCAGCCGCGGGAAUACAGAGGUCUCAAGCGUUGUUCGGAACCACUGGGCGUAAAGCGUGCGUAGGCUGUUUCGUAAGUCGUGUGUGAAAGGCGCGGGCUCAACCCGCGGACGGCACAUGAUACUGCGAGACUAGAGUAAUGGAGGGGGAACCGGAAUUCUCGGUGUAGCAGUGAAAUGCGUAGAUAUCGAGAGGAACACUCGUGGCGAAGGCGGGUUCCUGGACAUUAACUGACGCUGAGGCACGAAGGCCAGGGGAGCGAAAGGGAUUAGAUACCCCAGUAGUC
Molecule: ribosomal RNA, 446 nt
Filed under: uncultured bacterium
Lineage: Bacteria
Description: partial 16S ribosomal RNA
Rfam family: Bacterial small subunit ribosomal RNA
Source: RNAcentral